This is a non-coding RNA of Picea glauca (white spruce), 46 nucleotides long. The record is from Rfam. Lineage: Eukaryota; Viridiplantae; Streptophyta; Pinopsida; Pinales; Pinaceae.
UAAAAGGCUUUUCUCAAAGCCAUCCAUUUCUCUCAGAUGUACAUGG